This 464-nucleotide ribosomal RNA is filed under the name uncultured bacterium. RNAcentral's name for it is "partial 16S ribosomal RNA". It matches the Rfam family "Bacterial small subunit ribosomal RNA", at positions 339 to 795 of the family's 1533-position model. The record is from RNAcentral.
CUACGGGUUGCUCCAGUGGGGAAUUUUGGACAAUGGGCGCAAGCCUGAUCCAGCAAUGCCGCGUGCAGGAAGAAGGCCUUCGGGUUGUAAACUGCUUUUGUACGGAGCGAAAAGGCUCUCUCUAAUACAGGGGGCUCAUGACGGUACCGUAAGAAUAAGCACCGGCUAACUACGUGCCAGCAGCCGCGGUAAUACGUAGGGUGCGAGCGUUAAUCGGAAUUACUGGGCGUAAAGCGUGCGCAGGCGGUUUUGUAAGACAGGCGUGAAAUCCCCGGGCUCAACCUGGGAAUGGCGCUUGUGACUGCAAGGCUGGAGUGCGGCAGAGGGGGAUGGAAUUCCGCGUGUAGCAGUGAAAUGCGUAGAUAUGCGGAGGAACACCGAUGGCGAAGGCAAUCCCCUGGGCCUGCACUGACGCUCAUGCACGAAAGCGUGGGGAGCAAACAGGAUUAGAUACCCGUGUAGUC